CGCGGCCGUGAGCAGCCGGACCCUCCAUCCCGCGUGGGCGGCCAACGGAGGACCCAGAGUCCUCCGCAAUUUCCGUCUCCAGGGUUUCCGCCCAGGUGCCAGCGAUUUCCUUCUAUAAGUUUUUGAAAUGACACUCCAUUUCCCUCUCUGGAUGGAAAUCUGUCCUCUCUCCUGUCCCACGCUCCCACCGAGCAACAGAUGACCACAGCAAGCCAGCAUCCACUCUGCAGUCUGCCCUCGGGUGGGACAUUCCCUGACACACAGCAGCAUUUUAUUCACCGUUGUGGGCGUCGAGGCGGAGGGGUGGGUGGCCACCGGAAGCCAGGGAGGCCUUCUUGGGAGACCAAGGAGGUUGGGCAGAAGAGGGCCAGGCGGAACUCGGCAGCUGAGGUAGCCAGAGACACAUGGCUGCAGCCCCACCGCACCCAAGGUGCGUGAUCAAGUACCCUGGACCCUGUGACGUUCCUCCGGGGUGUAGCCUCCAGCAUUGGUCUCCGGGCUCAGACUGCAGAAGAUGCUUGGCGGCAGCUAUCACCAGGCCAGGGGCGACACCAUCCCCGAGCUGCGUGGGCCAUCCCCUGCCUGCAGGUCGCUGAGGGCUCUCUGGAGAUGGGGAGGGGUGGUCAGGGAGCCCAGCAUCGCUGGCACCCUUCCCGCCCCUUCCUUGUACCCAGAUGGCUGCAUCCCACCAGAGACAGGAGAUGUGCCACCCACUGGCAUCCUUUCUGAGACCCACCUCCCUUCAGGGGCCUCUCCAGCCUCCACCCUGGCUCACCUCAAAUUUGCUCAUGAAUUCUGAAAAGAUGCCAAAGAAGGCCUCUGAGGUAGUGGCCUUGGAGUCCUCUCCGAAGAAGGCUAGUGCCUUCCCUAGCUCCUCCAUGGCCUCUCGCUGCAGACCAUCCAAUGCUCGCAGAGCUGGCUGCGCUGUUUCCAGAAAGGACUACAGGGCCUUGGUCAAGGAAACAGCCCCUGGUGCUUUACCCUCCUUGGCUGGACUGUGAGUCCAGAUAUCCCUAGCUACUCCACCCCCUCUGCUCUGAAGGAAUCUUCCUUUCUGCAGACCGAGAGCUAUGCUAUAACCCUCACUCACACCAACCCCUCCCCUCCCCUCCUCCACCCCACCUUCCUCACCCCCACCUCCCUACCCCCCAAUCCCACAUCUCUCCAGCCCCAGCCCCGCCCCUGUCACAGUUCCAGACCACCAGUCCUUAAUUUUAUGCACACUUAAUGUAC
RNAcentral lists this long non-coding RNA (1233 nucleotides) under Mus pahari (shrew mouse). RNAcentral's name for it is "RIKEN cDNA 9530056K15 gene (MGP_PahariEiJ_G0003215.1)". Lineage: Eukaryota; Metazoa; Chordata; Mammalia; Rodentia; Muridae. The record is from RNAcentral.